UGCAGUCGAGCGGUAAGGCCUUUCGGGGUACACGAGCGGCGAACGGGUGAGUAACACGUGGGUGAUCUGCCCUGCACUUCGGGAUAAGCCUGGGAAACUGGGUCUAAUACCGGAUAUGACUUCAGGUUGCAUGACUUGGGGUGGAAAGAUUUAUCGGUGCAGGAUGGGCCCGCGGCCUAUCAGCUUGUUGGUGGGGUAAUGGCCUACCAAGGCGACGACGGGUAGCCGACCUGAGAGGGUGACCGGCCACACUGGGACUGAGACACGGCCCAGACUCCUACGGGAGGCAGCAGUGGGGAAUAUUGCACAAUGGGCGAAAGCCUGAUGCAGCGACGCCGCGUGAGGGAUGACGGCCUUCGGGUUGUAAACCUCUUUCAGCAGGGACGAAGCGCAAGUGACGGUACCUGCAGAAGAAGCACCGGCUAACUACGUGCCAGCAGCCGCGGUAAUACGUAGGGUGCAAGCGUUGUCCGGAAUUACUGGGCGUAAAGAGUUCGUAGGCGGUUUGUCGCGUCGUUUGUGAAAACCAGCAGCUCAACUGCUGGCUUGCAGGCGAUACGGGCAGACUUGAGUACUGCAGGGGAGACUGGAAUUCCUGGUGUAGCGGUGAAAUGCGCAGAUAUCAGGAGGAACACCGGUGGCGAAGGCGGGUCUCUGGGCAGUAACUGACGCUGAGGAACG
RNAcentral lists this ribosomal RNA (681 nucleotides) under Rhodococcus erythropolis. Its description in RNAcentral is "bacterial SSU rRNA". It matches the Rfam family "Bacterial small subunit ribosomal RNA", at positions 56 to 755 of the family's 1533-position model. Lineage: Bacteria; Bacillati; Actinomycetota; Actinomycetes; Mycobacteriales; Nocardiaceae. The record is from RNAcentral.